AUAUAUAUAUAUAUAUAUAUAUAUAUACACACACACACACACACGUUGGCGCACGCUGCCACCUCACACGCACAUUUGCUCUUAUCACACACACUCGCAGACACAGUGGGAAUUGAUGUUAUACAGAGGAAGUGUGUGAGAGACAGUCGACAGCCGUCAUUUGGCUGGUGCGAGUCUAUGUGUGAGAGAGACUCGCUAACCGUGUUCUUGCUCUGUCUUCCCGCUAUCUCACCGCCGUGUGUCUCAUUCUGCUCUUUGAUAAAGGAAAAGAGGUGGAAGGGGAAAGAAAUGUAAGGAAAGUUGAGGGCUAGAGUCAGUGGGGAUGGGAGCAGGAUGCUGGGAUGGAGCAUGCAGCCGUCGGAGACAGAUGCAUUCCGAGGCGAAAUCUGCCAAUGUGAUGGUUGGUAAGAGGGAGACGAGCGCGGUGUGCGAUGCGCUGCCAGGGAAAAUGAGCUAGGCUCUGGCAAAUCUGCAGGAAUGGACAGUAGUGGGAUGGAUAAAUGGAGAAAUAAUGGAGUGAAGAAAGACACUGAAAGGUAAAGAGACGAGAUAGGAGUGUUUGAGGAAUGAGAGAUGACAGGCAAGAUGGAAGCAGGAAAAAAAAUUGCGUGUCUUGAGUAAAUAAAAAAAAUUGCAGUUGGCAGCAGUGGAAAUUGUUUUAAAUCAAGUUAUGGAGUUAUAAAGACAAAAAAAUUGUAUAUGAAUGAAACUAAAUUUAAAUUGUUAUUGCAUAAACCUGAAUAAAUGUAGUGCAUUUACAGCAAUGUGCAAAUAUCAAAGUUUAUUUAGAGGUGCAUUUAGGCAGAUAUUAAAAAUACAUUUUAAGAUUGUUUUUCGAUAUAAACAGAAGGAUUUUUAGUUUUUAUGCACGUGUGGCUUUAGAGGAGCUUUAGUGUCUUGUGGGGCAGAUUUAUUGAGUUCACCCCUAGAAACCAACACGCUCACAGUCAGACUGUAAUCAUCAGAUCGGCUCAGAUAUCAAAAGGCAGUGUCUGUCUGAAAGAUUAGAACAACCAUCUGUCUGCCAUGUGGAAAGCCUCCGAUUAUCAAUAAACUUCACACGCGCUUGUACGUGCGUGUGUGUGUUUGAUCCAGCCACCAGGAUGUGAUGUAAACGGGAGAAACAGAAGCACAGAAUAGACAAGAUUAACGACGGGAACAAAGAAUUAUCCUGUUGUGACCUUAAUGCUAUUAUUAGAUAAUUUAUUCUGCCAUUCAUUUGUUUAAGCUGGAACAUGUAAAGUACUUUGAUAAGAAAUAAACAAAUUUUAAGGACCAUACACAAAAGCCAGGAAAUGACUAGUGGCCAAGCGUAAUGUAAAAUCAGUACACAGCCAUUGAUCUUUCUCUAUUGAACACCUGUGUUUACUGUUGCCACUUCCCCUGUAUUUACUCUGACUAUAUUUGCAGUAUAACCGCAGCACAUAAUGGACUGAGGAGCUGGGUCAGCGACUGCUGCACUUCUCAGAGAAUGGAUCCUUGUUUCAGCUCCACGAACGCGUGCCAGUAGAACCGAAGCUCAUGUUUGCUGCCCUACAGCAGGUCAUUUCAAGCACAUUGGAGGGAGAGCUGCCGUCUGUGGCUUCCCUGUUCUGUACAACAGGUACCCACAAAGGGAAAGUAAAAUAAUACACCUGAUAAAAUGAGAGGGAGAGAGUAAAGUCUGCACACACCUCAACACUACUGUAAGACACAUGUAGUCCCCAAAUUCUUCUCCUCCACUAUGCUUUUCAUGGUGGGCCAGCAAUUAUGCUCCAUGCUGGUUGGCCACACACACACUCACUCACUUACUUACUGUAUAUUCAUUCAUAAUUUCUUUCUGGUCAAGCAAGGUCGUUUCACUGCUUCUGGUCAAGUCAUCUUUGCUGCCUGGUGAUCAAGGUUACUUUCUUCCAUCAUAAUUCAAAUUAAACCCGCUGCUCGAAUCGUCGGCGGCUUUUAAAUCCACUAAUAUCUGUGCUCUCACAUGGAAAUCUAGCACAUAGCUGAUUCAUUUAUAUGUAUGAAGGCGAGAUCAGACAGAGACACGUGUAGAAUUAAUUUGCUACACAAGCGCACCCAUGCACACUCGCACCGCUCGCCUCGUGAGGACCUGUAAAUUCUUUAACCCAUGCACCAUUUCCCUUAUUUCUUGGUUCACAUUUGCCACUGGUCCUCACGAAACUUAUCAAUUCAUGCAGCACUCUUUGCUCGCAGAUUUUCACCUCACUCACAGGUAACCAGUGCUUUCAUGGCAGCAGGUGGCCUCGUGUGAGCGUCCAAACACAACAAUACAGGUUGCCAAAGCUUUCCAUUUCAGCGGGUGGUCAGCAAGUAAUGGCACUGAUGGCUGAACAUUGGACACUCAGACAGAAAGCAGGGUUAUCUUCCAAAACAACACAAAAAGGGCCAAAGGGGAGACGAGAGAGGAAACCUCAAAGGGAACAUUAAAAAGUCAUUUGCUGUGUGUCUUUGAAUGCCUCACUCUCGAUUUCCCUGCUUUUUAUCCAUAUGUCACCCACACGCGUUCUCCGCCCACGCCGACAGCCUGGCACGCCAUGUUAAUUACUAAUGUCUUUCAAGUUUUCAUUUCCUCCUCAUGAGGGAAAUUACAUUUGUUUUCCUCGUUGAGUCAAGAUGACACGGAAAACAAAGAGGAAAGGGUAAAUUAGAAGUUAGACUGUUUCAGCUUGUACAACAACAGACAAGCUAAUUAUUCAGGAAGAGACAAAUUGACAAUGAGUUGUCAAAUGUCAAAGAAUGUAGAUGAUUUGGCCUCAGUUGUUUUGCUCCCAUCAAGGACGCAGGCACAGGAUCAUAGUUUUUGUCUUUAGACAAGGAAGCAAGUCCUUGAUAUCGCACCGCUGAACACGCGGUGAUGUGUAAAUGCAAAGUUUUCCUGUUGUUGUGUUGCUUCAUCUCACUUUACUUCUGCAACGGCAGCCGUCAAUGUGACGUCACAACUCGAGGCUGAAGAUGAUGUGACAUAAACGCAGUGAACGCUUCAUUACGCUAAAGAGCGUUCUGCUCAGUUUUUGUUCGUAUGAGUAUGGUAAUAUUCCUUCCAAACCUCCCUGCCUUCCGGGCGCCACAGUUGCCGCAGAGCCUGUCAUUUAUAUUAAUGGUAUUAAUUGAUGGCGGCUGGGAGCUGCCCAGCGAGUCCACGGGCAUGUCGUUUUGCCCCGUGAGCAGCUCCAGCUGAAGCGCUGGGGGUCAAAUGGCACCUGAUGCAUUUUGCUGAAGGGGAGGAAAACAUGACUCCUUCAGCCUCUUUGUGCAUGUGGACUUUUUGGUCUGAAACGCGAACGGUCGGGCUCUGGGCCAUUACUGUGGCUUUGGGGGGUUCACCAUUGGCCCACCUUGGCUGCUGUAAAGCAUCACUUCCCUACUCGGAUUUGAGGCUCAACACUUUGAUGGAUUCAUCUUUCAGCUUUUAGCAGACACGUCUUUGUUCACCCUGUUUCCUAGUCCAUCGCCUCCUCACUUCCUCCUUCCUUGGGCCUCUUCUUACUCCUUUUAUGCUUUUUGUGUUAUUCUCAGAUUGAGGGAUCCGGGCAGGGUCCUCCAGUGUCUGUGCGCUGGCUUCUGCAGGGAAUCAUUAAGCUUUCUCUAGAGGGAAACAGAUAAAAGAGACCGCCUACAGUACCUUCUCCAUUCAUUUAUUUCUAACUAGUUUUUCACCAGAGGCCUGAAAAGUGGAGAGUGAGCAGAUGAAUGGACAGUUGAUUCUUGCUUCCAGUCUUUUAGCUACGCUCUCUCUUUAUGGCUUGCGUUGCAGCGGCAACAUAUCACUAUCCUGUUUUAGGUUUUUCCCCAGAGGUAAAAUGAGACGUCUGUUUUUCUCUAAGUGCCUUUAUCAUUAACUGAGAUCUUUAUGUCUUUUCAAUAAAGCUUCCUAGGACAAAAGAAAAUGUUUGUUUUUCUCCUGCAGCUCCAUCAGUCACGGAUCACGUCAGUUUAACGUGACCAUUUACCACCUUUUAUAUUUAUGUUGCUAUUUUCCCACUCGCCUCUGCAAGCACAUUUCAAGGCAGGGAUGUGUAGGAUCCAUAGUCCCGUGUCCCUGAAAUGGCUACUGGCUGCCUGCAUGUGGGUCACCUUGUACCAGAGGAUCGCCACACGUGCACACACACACGAGCACUUGGAAUCAGUGGCUGCUUGGAAUCGGUGCAUUUGUACGGUUUUAAAAAUAACUGUAAAAGAAUUCAAGCUUUGUUUUGUUUUGUUUUGUCUCUCUACGUGUGUUGAAACAGCAGCUUCUGUAGCAGCACAGUCUCCACCUGAUGUAGCUGCUCUAACCUGAUAUCCCAUUAAAGCAACUAAGAUGUUUGUGGGAACUGAAUCAACAUUUUCAAAACACAGUCACAGGACAGUAGAUGGUUCUGGUUCUGGUUCUGUUCUACAACAGAAAGGUGGGGGGUCUGUUUGCUCUCGCCAGUUGAGGCCGCUUAUUUGUGCUGCACAUUUUCCUGCCUUUUGUCCUCUUAUUUCCUGUUUUUCAUUUCUGUCCCAGGGAAAAUUCAGACUUGUUAUUAAGAAACUAUGAACAAAGACAUCAGUUAUUUAUGACGGGAAACAUUUGGAAUUGUUCAGUUCUGUAUAUUUAUUAUUAGUGGAGUAAAAUGUUUGGGAUUUGGCUUCACCUAAUUAUCGUAUGAAAGCAAGACACAUGCACGCAAGCAAGAGCUGCAGGCUUCAAAUAGUGUGAUAAGAAACCUUUUGUAAUUUGUUAUAAUGCUUUUUGCAUCAUAUUUCAUCAUUACAUUUGGGCAAAGCGUAUGCAGCCUGCAGUCCCGGUCCCAAGCCAGAAUCGAACUGAUACCUGUGGUUUUGUGGGACGUGCUUCAACCACUGAGUGGUGGGGCAAAAUAUGCAUUUUUAAUAGUGCUUAGCAGUUUUAAAGUGGUGUAGAAAUACUGUACUGCUCUCAGCUUAUCAGAGGAGCAAACUGAGAGGGUAUCACUGGUACAAUCACAAGAGUUACGGCGUUGUUGCUGUAGUUUUUGCUCAUUAAUUUGAGGAUCCAUCUGUCACACUUUUUAUUUGCUAAAUCCUUUAAUUACUGCUGAUGAAAGAGCAAAUUUCCUCACAGUGUUGCCAACUUUUGUGUUUUUCUUAUAUUUGACUUUUUAAACCUGUUAAGAGACUUUUUUCCCUAUUUGAGAGGAGCAGCAAUUAUUGUAUUUCUCAGUGAAUGGAUGUUUAUGAGGAGAUGGCUCCUUCCUCCAAAUCCAAAUCCACCUUUUGCUACUUAUUCUGAAAAAAAGAUUGGAUAAAUUCAGGGCGCCAACGCAGACACGUACCAAGUCAGCCCAAAGUAUUUGAUGCAACGCUAUUGCACGUGUGAACCUACAGUAGAACAGCUGCUCUAAUCAGCAGCCUACCUGCCAAUACUCGCAUUCCUUUCACUGCUUGUGUUAAGCACAUUAACUACCAGACUGUGUUGGAAGGCAGAGACUGUGAUUAAGAGCUUUGCGGUGCUCGUUUUAAAUGUGGCGACGUCGCAGGUAGAGAGAACAGGUGAUGUGUUCAGGGCAACACCGGGUUUCAAUUAAAGGCAUUACAGUGAUUAUGUGUAAUACAGUGGAACAGCAGGUGGAGGAGUAGCAUAGCGUGUGUAUUUGCCAGUGAUGCAUAUAAUGUGGGCAGACUUUGCCAGUUGAACAAGGUGGUCCAUGAAGCAUAUGCCUUGCACUUAAGAUUAAUUUGCAGCAUCAAGACUAAGCCUCUAAUUUUAUGAACAAGCUACAUCAGCAAAGUGUGAGCGUGUCAGUUUUCAUAGUCUUUUAAUGGCACUCGUCUUGACGCGCGUCUCCCCCGUGUGCGUCUCUGUUCUCGGCCAUCUGACACGGGGAACGUGCCUUUCCAGCAUCUUUUCUCCUGUCCUGCCUCCUUUUUUAGUCUUCCUACCCCUUCUCCUGUGUGUGAUGGCUGAAGAUGAAAGUCUGAGAGUCCGGGGAGAACACCAUGAGCUGGCUUCAAAUCCUCCACGCUAUGAAGACUUGUUAUUUGCCUCUGUCUACCAAGCCAUCAGAAAACCACCCUCCUCUGCCUGUAUCAGAAAAUGAAAGCUGUCUGUGUCUGGGCUAUUUGCAUUCCAUUUGCAUGUGAACCCCAACUGGCUGAUUUUGGAAUGCCAAGAGGCUAAAUUCAGUAUUUAUUACCCGGGACCAUAACUAGUUUUCACUUUUCUCUAGCAUUUGCAUGUGAUUUGCAUUUCCCUCAGCUUGGAUCUGGGAAUAAGGGGCCAAAUGACCUAAAUUGUUACAAUUCCACCUAGAAAUAAAAAAAAAAAAGCACAGGAAGGUCUAAUUAUUACUAUUAAUCGAAUUACGCUCUACACGUGGAGCGUAAAUAUGCGCAAAGGGUCAUUAGCUACAAUAGCAAGCAGAGGAAACGAGCUCUUAAUGCAGAUUGCUUUAGACAAUCAAGUUGUGUGUGUGUGUGUGUGUGUGGGGGGUUUGUAGGCUUGUACGUUUCAUCUCCCAAAGGAUCAUUCUGUUUUUUAGGUUAAAAAAGGUUAAAGACACAGACCUAAUUAGUCAUAGAAGCUAAUCUGCAUUGCAUUGUACUAUAAACUGUUUAUGAUCAAGUGCAUUAAUGUCAGGAAUUUGCUCAGCUUGCACUUCGCAGGUCGUCUGUCAAGCACAUUGAGAACGGUUAUGUGCUAGAGUGGAACAGGAAAUGGAGAAACGGCUUGAGGUGGGGUCACUCAGGCACCUGAGCAGUCACAGGUCUUCACAUCUUUAGAAACUCUGACUGAGGCUGUGUAUGAGGAAGUCACGGGCAGAACAGAGCUGGUGAAGGUUAUUGAGCACAUCUGCUGCACGUGUGAACAUCUAGUUCAGUGAGCAACAAGUCCAGAAAGCCACUGCCACCAGAGCCGCCUUUCUGCUCUAAUGACCUCGGAUGAGAAGCCCGCAGACUAAUGCCUUCACUUCAGCUAAAGCUCCAGCGCCAUCUGCCUCGUUUCUCUUUCACUUUGUGUUUACUUUUUCCCACGACAGGUGAGGUUGCGCGUCCAGGUGGCUCCGGCUUUUCAUUCUUUACUUUUCUCCCUUCUUUGUCUUCUACCAGGUGACAGGCGGGAGACGCACAAUUAAAACACACACGUUUCUUCAUCUCUGCAAGUCUGCUAACACACUCUUUGUGUACACGGCAAAUUGAUGCUCACUCUUCCCAUGACCUAUUUUUAACUUCAAACCCAACCCGUAUACACACACACAGGCAGACACCUCAUUGAAUAUAAACGGCCAUCUCCUAGGGCAAACAGCAAAUAUAAUCACAUUUGUAAUGUCAAAGAAAUAGUGCGUCAAUAUUUGCCUGGGCUGUUAUUGUUGUGAAAUAGGGAACUGUGGUUACCAUGGUGUGUGUGAUUGCGACGGUUGAUGAUGAGGCACAACAGGACUCGACUGUUCACCAGUUUUGAUAUUGUGACAAUAUUCCCCUAUACUCAUUAUUCAUAUGGAGAGAACCAAAACUCUGUCACAUGACCGUGUAUAAAUACGACAUGAGAAUUUAUUUGCACGUCAUCGUGCAAAAUGCAAAUACUUUUCCCCAUCAGUUGGUUUCUAGUUGUAUCAGGGUUAAAUUUGUAAUCAAACAUUUUGUCAAGAGUCAGUGUAGCGACAAUGAUACACAUAUUACAUAGCAGCUGUUGGUGUCUAUGGAAAAGUACAGUGUAUUCCUGGUAGUUUAUUUACUUUCAGUUUUUUUACUUUUCACUUUUUAGAGGUGAUAAUACUUCUAAUGAAUAUUGUCAAAAUGUCUACGUAGCAGAAGAGAUUGCAGCCUCUACUAUGUGUCAUCUUCUCACAGUAAAACUGUGCCUCAGAUCAUAUAAUAUAAAUAAUGUGAAAACAUCAUUAAUGCCGGGUGGUUCAUCUGUAUUUAAAGCGUGUACUCGGUGCUUCUGUGACCUCCAGCUGCUUUUUAAUGUCGCCUCUCUUUGACUUGGUGAGACGUGCAAAUCCAAUGAAUCAAAGAGUUGACGUCAAGCCUCUUUUUUUUUUUUUUAAUCUACAUAAAGUCUGGCCAUAGUAACAGGUAAAAGUGAAAUCAUUGCUAUAUUACUGUGUGUCUGGGAUAAAGAAAGACCUGAAAGAUUAGUGACUCACAGACUUUUGUGCCCUUGAAUCUAAUAAUUUCUCCCUCACUGUGUGAAAUAUCUUUAAUGCCUGCUCUCAUGAUCAUAAUGGUUUUCUGUCUGAGCUGCAGACUAGUGAUUGGCCCCAAUUACUGCGUGAACCCGAGGCUUCAAAUCAACCUAUCUAUGCAAGAAAAUCUACUGCCAGAUGUUCAUCACUGCGUUCCUCUCUCAUUCAUCUAUAUGCGGUGUGAGCCUUCGAAGCCCUGUUAUGUCAGCAGUGUUUACUUUAAAAUGUAGGAGCUCCAAAUGAAAUCCACCGGCUGACGUACACCCCCCAUGUCUUUACUCCCUCAUUUGAAUAUAGACCUGCCUCCGUUAUCUAGUUUAAUUAAUAUACGUUCAAAUUUUAGUCAGUUAUAAACAGUUGUUCGAUGAUCAGAUGAAAGGGAGACAGACUGACUCCAGCCACCACCCAUCCAUAGCCUUCAUGCUUCACUAUUAUCUCCGCUUUUUUUUGUUCUUCUUGUCUGUUCCCUGUUGCAUUUUGUUCUUACACUUCCUUUCAUGUUCUUCCCUCAAACUCGGCUCCGACUCCAGCUUCCCACCUCUCUCACCCUUGCAAGUCUCUUGAAUCGUGUUUUUUUUUUUUUUUCUUUUUUCCCCGU
This is a long non-coding RNA of Betta splendens (Siamese fighting fish), 8733 nucleotides long. RefSeq lists it as uncharacterized. The record is from RefSeq and is a predicted model, not a curated record. Lineage: Eukaryota; Metazoa; Chordata; Actinopteri; Anabantiformes; Osphronemidae. The transcript is spliced from 2 exons.